AAUAAUGGGAAGUGGUUUCAAGCUUAAAGAGGAUAGAUUUAGGUUAGAUAUAAUGAAAAAGUCUUUUAGAGUGAGGGUGGUGAGGCACUGGAACAGGUUGCCUAGAAAUGUGGUUGAGGGCCCAUCCCAGGAGACUUUCAAGGUGAGGCCCUGGGCAACCUGAUCUAGCUGUGCAUGUCCCUGUUCAUUUCAGGGGAGUUGGACUAGCUGACCUUUAAAGGUCCCUUCUAACUCAAAGGAUUCUAUGAUUCUAUUCUAUGAUUCAGUCAUAAAUGCACAGGAACAGGCUGUCCCCAUGUGCCGUAAGACGAGCCGGCAGGGAAGAGGUCACACCUCGAGUACUGAGUUCGUUUUGGGCCCCUUACUACAAUGAAGACAUUGAGGCCCUGGAGUGUGUCCAAUGAAGGGCAACAAAGUUGGUGGGCCCAGCUUUAGGCAAUCUCUGCUCUAUUUACAAAGAAGGAUGGAUUCUCACGUCAGGGAGUGAGCUGAUACACUCUGAAAUUACCAGUGAGCUGCUUCUUACAACGUGAUAAUUGGAGAAGAUUUAUUACCAUGUGUGUUUCAAGUUCUAUACUCCUGCUAAUGGGCUAACAGAAGAUACAGUUAGCCUUUAUGAAAAUGAAAUACUGACCAAAGAAACUCUCUUAACAGCUUGAUGCUGCACUGGCAAGGCAACAUAUGCAUAAAUCAGAUAGCUAUCAGCAACUGUGAUACAUUUCCCCAAAUUAAUUUCUGUCACACAUUGAAAAUAAAGAUCACUAAAGAGGAA
Numida meleagris (helmeted guineafowl) is the source of this 772-nucleotide long non-coding RNA. RefSeq lists it as uncharacterized. The record is from RefSeq and is a predicted model, not a curated record. NCBI's taxonomy places the organism in Eukaryota, Metazoa, Chordata, Aves, Galliformes, Numididae. The transcript is spliced from 2 exons.